UGUGACGAGCAGAGAUGAUAGAACAAAAUGGAACCGACGAUAAAUUGCCAGAAACAACUAGCUAGCAAAUUCGUAGUUGCCAGAAUGUUCUAGUCGCGAACUUUUGUUAAAGAUCUACUAUAAAAGGUUUGCUAGAUUGUUUAUUUUGGUGUCGCCAAUUGCGUUCACAUGAGCGAGACAAGUCUGACAACUUUAGUCAAACAAUUUUCUGCAUUUUUUCUUCAUUUUUGACUACCUAAUUUUAAUCCACAUUCACCGUUUACUAAAAUAUUUCUGUUAUAAAAAUUGAUAAAAACAUUCAAAUUUCCGAUAUAAUUAAUGUAAAUAUUUACUUGAAACGGAGAGCUUUGCAACCAUGAAACAAAUUUCAAAAUGAAAAGGAAUGUCGAAUUUCGAAGCAGCGAACAAGAACACAAAGCGUACCACCCGAGUACGAGUGGCACGGUCCUUCGUUUUUUAUCGUCGUCCCCACGUAUACAAAAAGCCGGUUUGGACGACAAAAGAGUCCGUGUGUAAACUGGCACUAACAACACUUACAAAACUUCGCCGAACUCGAACAUUUACUGUCUAGUUAAUUCUUGCAAUUUAUCGUUGAUUCUAUUCGCGAUAUUUAUUUAUUAUACAUUGUUUACCAUCGACGUUAUUGAGUGGUCCUAUGAAUAUGAAAUGUUAUUCUGAUAAUGAUUUUGAAAUUUCAAUUAGUAAAAUACAAAUUGUUAAAAGAUGUUGUAUUUGUCAGGAGCAUUCUUCAUCACUUACUUUAGUGGACAAAUCAUACAUUGGAACACCACCUAUUUUAACAAGUGAUUUACUGCUACAAUGUUUUGAUUCAAUGGAUAAAUUUCACUUAAUACUUGGACAGCAGCCUUCAAAUAACUUCAUAUGUCAGUCAUGUGAAAAGCUCCUUGUAGAAUUUUAUAACGCCAUGAAAAUAGUUACGAUUAAACGAAAUAAGUUCCUUAAUCGAGUUCAGGAUAAAAAUAAAGCAACAGAUGGAGUAGAAUACUUUGUAAUUAUUGAAUCUCCAAAAAUAAAUGCAAACUCGCAUCACCCAACAACAAACCAUGUAAAGGAUCAUGAACCAAAUUCACAUCCUUCAGAAGACGAGUUUGUUACAAUUAUUGAAUCAGAUGAUGAAUAUUUUACUUUAAAUACCUCAGAAGACGAAUUUGUUAAAGUUAAUCAACCAGCCGAAGAAUUUGAAGAUGAAUGGUCAUCAGAUUGUUCAAUCAACUCAGACGCUCAAGAAACUCCAGGACAAAUGCGAAAAUCAUUGAUUACUAUUGAACGUAUGCCAAAAACAAAGCUUAGAUUUUGUUGGCGUUGUGAUAAAAACUUUACAUCGGAUGAUGCUUUUGAAAUUCAUUUGAAACUAGCUCACACGAAAGGUAAAAAAACUGUUUACUCGUGCCAACAAUGUCAAAAAAGUUUUGCAUCCGAAGACGAACAUAAUGCACAUUUGUCCGAAGUUCAUUAUUCUGAUCAGUUACGUUGUAAAAUUUGUGGUGCUACGUUUGACUCAUCCGUACAUUUGAAUGCACAUAAAAUGGCCCACGAGAAGUUUAAGUGUUCUAUAUGUUUAAAAAUGAUGUUAACUCAUAGAAUGCUUCAACGUCAUAUGUUGGUACAUCGUAUGGACAAAAAACACCAAUGUUCAGAAUGCGACAACAUAUAUACAUCAAAGAAGUUUCUACAAAAGCACAUGUUGGUUCAUAAAGAUGCUCGAAGCUUCGUAUGUCAGGUUUGUGAAUUUAAAUUUAGGAACGCAUGGAAUUUAAAACGCCAUCAAAAGCUACAUUGCCUUGGUGAUAUAAGUAGGAAGCUUGGAGAUAUUAGAGCGCAUACUUAAGUUUUUAAUAUUAAAAAUUGUUACAUUUUUUAUAAUAAACUUGGUCAAACAAAAUAAAAAACUAAAAACAAACAAUUGAUCUAAUUUGUACGUAAGUGUAUUAUAUAGGCAGACAGUAACAUACUCGUUCCCAAAGUGGAGUAACCUUGUUACACCAGAAUUCAUGUUCAACCUCAACCCCUAGAGUUAAUAAAUUUACUUUGGGCUUUCAAAUGUCUAAAAUCGUAUCAAACAAAAUUUGUCAAAAGUUAGUUAGUUUAAGGAUAUUUCAAAUAUAUUCAAUUUUAUUUCUUAAUUACUACAAAAUAUCGAGACUGGCGUUGCAAGAGAGCAAUCAGCUGACUUGUGUCUACGGGAAAAAUCCAAUACUCACGUAUAUCCUACCGUAUGGACUGUAAGCGGUGUUCAUUUACAUUGCGCUCUUAUAAGCAUGGAUAACAUGAUACGAAACUCUUUGAAUCGAGAGAGCGCUAUCAAAGUUCGAUUUUUUUUAUAACAUUUGACAGUGGUGCCGCUUAGGAAAGAAAUAAGUUUUGAGAUUUUUUAAUGUAUUUCUUGAUUAUUUUUACUUGGUACUGCUAAGCAAAACAAUACUCUGCGGCAAAACACCCGCUCUUUCUUAAAAACAAAACUAUAAUUAAUCUCUUUAAAUGAAGAUUAAAAACAUACGUAAAAGUCACUAAAAAAUCUGAUCUCACAAAUAACCCACUGAUUUGACAAUUUGUUUCUGCUUUAUUUUAGUUUUGGUUGUCAUCUGUUCAGUAGCUCAUGAACUUUCAGUGCUGCCAAAAAACCAUGAGAUCAUGCGCUCUCUCAGAAAGCAAAGAGAGAAGUUUCGAAUCAUAUUAUCCAUGCUCAUAAGAUAGGUCGUAUCAGCUAAUUCGGUCUACUGUUUUGCGGCGGUAACUGUUUCCAGCAUUAUACACAAAAUAGGAAGUGAUGUUCAUGAUGAAUAUAAUUUUUUUUUUUCUUGGCAGUAUCGACAAGGAUGACGUAUCGAAGAUUGAUCAGAUUGAGAGUUCCCUAGUGAUUUAAUAUAUGAUUCAAUAAAAUAUCAUUAUAACGUUAUAAAAUUAUCAAAUCGUCUACCAUAUUUUGUUAAAUUAAAGAUACAUUUCAGGCCCAACGUAGCCUGUGUGAGUGAAUGUCAGGUAUAUUCUCUACAAUGGAUGGUUGUCCGAGGCUACAAAAGGCAUGUUUCUUUCGGAAAUUGGAGAUAUUCGUCUAUACAACUCGAAUUCGGCGGAACCAACACUUUCAAAUAAUAUACAUUCGUAUCUUAUCAAUGCAGGACUGCCAGUUUUUAUGGACAGGCUUUGUAAUUAUUGUCUAGUAAUGCUGAUAAAAAUGCCUACAUAAAUUAGAUAUGCGUAUUUAUUUGCGGACAUGGAAAUGAACUCAGUUCCCAGUUAUGUUAAAUUAUAUUUCUUUAUCUUUAUUUAUUUGUAUUUUUUCAAACAAAGUUUUCGAUGACACUCGACAUUUUUUUUUACCGUUACUUAAAAAAAUAUCGUAAUUCUUCAAUUUUUACUUGUGAGUCAGUUGUAUAGCCUAUCCACUAAUAAAUUUAUAGAAG
Molecule: non-coding RNA, 3425 nt
Organism: Bactrocera oleae (olive fruit fly)
Lineage: Eukaryota; Metazoa; Arthropoda; Insecta; Diptera; Tephritidae
Source: RefSeq, a predicted model, not a curated record